This 208-nucleotide unclassified non-coding RNA is filed under the name Hevea brasiliensis (rubber tree). Lineage: Eukaryota; Viridiplantae; Streptophyta; Magnoliopsida; Malpighiales; Euphorbiaceae. The record is from RNAcentral.
AAAAAAAAAAAAAAGGAAAAUGGGCUUUGGAUUAUGAAUAUGAUAGAGGAGGGUAUUGUAUAAUUGUAUAUGGAGAAUGAGGAGGGAAGAAACAGUGCAAUUAUGCAGGCUAAAUCUUGUUGGCAAGGACAGAUCUAGCCAUGUGAUGUUUUAUUUUAUUUUAUAUUAUUUUCACUAUUUUGCUUGUUGUGAAAGUUCUGCUACACCA